RNAcentral lists this ribosomal RNA (402 nucleotides) under uncultured bacterium. RNAcentral's name for it is "bacterial SSU rRNA". It matches the Rfam family "Bacterial small subunit ribosomal RNA", at positions 108 to 507 of the family's 1533-position model. The record is from RNAcentral.
GAGGAACACGUACACAACCUUCCUUCAAGCGGGGAAUAGCCCAGAGAAAUUUGGAUUAAUACCCCAUAAUAUAUUUGAUAAGGCAUCUUAUUAAUAUUAAAGCCUCGGCACUUGAUGAUGGGUGUGCGGCUGAUUAGAUAGUUGGCGGGGUAACGGCCCACCAAGUCUACGAUCAGUAGCUGAUGUGAGAGCAUGAUCAGCCACACGGGCACUGAGACACGGGCCCGACUCCUACGGGGGGCAGCAGUAAGGAAUAUUGGACAAUGGACGAAAGUCUGAUCCAGCCAUGCCACGUGAAGGAUUAAGGUCCUCUGGAUUGUAAACUUCUUUUAUAUGGGACGAAAAAAGGGCAUUCUUGUUCACUUGACGGUACCAUAUGAAUAAGCACCGGCUAACUCCGUG